This 452-nucleotide ribosomal RNA is filed under the name Kocuria rhizophila. Its description in RNAcentral is "bacterial LSU rRNA". It matches the Rfam family "Bacterial large subunit ribosomal RNA", at positions 558 to 1009 of the family's 2925-position model. The record is from RNAcentral. Lineage: Bacteria; Bacillati; Actinomycetota; Actinomycetes; Micrococcales; Micrococcaceae.
GUGUGCCUACAAGUAGUUAGAGCCCGUUAAUGGGUGAUAGCGUGCCUUUUGUAGAAUGAACCGGCGAGUUACGAUUACGUGCGAGGUUAAGCUUUAGAAGGCGGAGCCGCAGCGAAAGCGAGUCUGAAUAGGGCGAAAUAGUACGUGGUCGUAGACCCGAAACCAGGUGAUCUACCCAUGUCCAGGGUGAAGGUAAGGUAACACUUACUGGAGGCCCGAACCCACGCACGUUGAAAAGUGCGGGGAUGAGGUGUGGGUAGCGGAGAAAUUCCAAUCGAACUUGGAGAUAGCUGGUUCUCUCCGAAAUAGCUUUAGGGCUAGCCUCGUGAUGAGAAUACUGGAGGUAGAGCACUGUUUGGACUAGGGGGCCAUCCCGGUUUACCGAAUUCAGACAAACUCCGAAUGCCAGAUAUUUAUACACGGGAGUCAGACUGCGAGUGAUAAGAUCCGUA